AAAAAAUGGCCAUCCCACAGUUCCCAAGUUUCUAUCUUCUCUGUUCAAAAGAGUACGUAUGCAUGGAAGCUAAGAUCAUGGGAUCCAGAGACAGACUGGGUUACCAUAAAGCCUGGAAUCAAUCACAGAAAGACUCUAACCUCAAGAAGUCUAGCAGAAUGACCUCCCUUAUGAAGAUGAAGACAAUAGCCAAGUGUCAACAUGCCAUCCUUGAGGGAAUCAGAAGAAACCAGAGCAGUUGUGAUCAUGGAGUAUCCCCAAACUGAUGUUCUCUUGCAG
Lutra lutra (Eurasian river otter) is the source of this 279-nucleotide long non-coding RNA. RefSeq lists it as uncharacterized. The record is from RefSeq and is a predicted model, not a curated record. The transcript is spliced from 3 exons. NCBI's taxonomy places the organism in Eukaryota, Metazoa, Chordata, Mammalia, Carnivora, Mustelidae.